AACACGUGUCCCAUCGUUUGCGACUCUGAUCUCUUCUUUCCCGACUUCGCUCUUCUUCAAUUUCUCCCGAUUCGCAGCGAGAGAGAGAGAGAUGGCGCCGCCGGCAACGGAGCGGUGGUGCUGGGCAUUGAUUAGGGUUCAUCUUUUCCCAUCUUUUUUUCCAAUUCAGAUUUUGAUUUCAAUCUCUAUCUUAAUCUAAUCUAUGUGAGAGUGGCUCAAGAUGCAAACGCAUCAGAUAUAAAGAGAUCAUGCGAUUAUUGAUUCUUCUUUCUUAGUCAAAAUCGCCAUUGCUUACGAGAUAUUGAAAGGACUGGUGUUCGAUCACGCUGCUCAGUUCUUCAUUGCAGAUGAUUCUCGUCUUAUCCAGUACGUCGAUGGAUGGUUAGAGAAAGGACUUGUUCGAGAGUGGAAAGGUGUUGUGGGAGAGCUUGAAGUUGGAGGCAAUUUCUCGCAGUUUCCUCCUUCAUGGCCUCCAAGAUACAUUGCUGUUCACGGCAUGCGAUCUCUCGCUGAUUCAUUGCUAUUAGAGGUUGUUAGAGUCGAUUGUCAUUGCUCACAAUGGUAAGAACGGAACAUCUCGUGGUCAGUUUGAUGUCAUUAUCAUUGCUCACAAUGGUAAAUGUGCGAACCGUUUGCUGUCUGCAUCAGGCUUGCCCCUCGUUGCUAAACAGAUGAAGAAUUUUGAUCUUAGCUCCAUAUGGGCGCUACUAGCAGCGUUCGAUGAUCCUCUUCCUACAGUGAACUUCGAAGGAGCGUUUGUGAAAGGAGUUGAAUCAUUGUCUUGGAUGGGAAACAACUCCGCAAAGCUUGAUACUACUACAAGUCAACAGUGAUUGGAGGCAUUCAACAACUUCACCAACGGAGAGGGAUGAUCGAGGAAAUACUAACAAUAUAAUAGUGGUUGGAGAUGUUGCUAACGUCAUGCCUAAUAUUCAACAGCCAAGAAAGGAAACGGACAUGGUAGCCAUGAUGAGAAGAGCCCAUGGUCAUUGUCAGGAUCCUGCUUCUGUUACUUUCUAUGUGCUAAGCCUAGCGAUGCAUUUCCAUGGCUGGCUCUCCUUCUUCAUUACACUAUACUAUAAGUUGCCUCUCAAACAAGAUAGGACGGGUUACUAUGAAUAUGUUGGUUUCUGUCAAUGAACUCUUGGUUCUGGAGUGCAGUUUUUUCCACAAUAGGAAAUAAUCUACACAUUACUUUUAUCAUCCACAAUCUUCUGGUGAUCUGUCUCUAUGGUUUCUCAGGGAUGUUGACAUCACAAAGAGGUUGGACUGCUCAUCUGCAAUAGCCGUUCUCGGAUUCUCACUCAUCGUAUCCAUCCUAAGAACCUUUCAUGUUGGGGUGGAUGCUGCAAGAGUCAUGGUAUCCGCUCCAGUACUAGCUUUAGUCACCACCCACGUACUAUACAUUAACUUCUACAAACUUUACUAUAGUAUACAGAGAACUCUUUCCCCUAUCUGAAACCAGUUCCAUUUUUUUUUCUCCACA
Molecule: long non-coding RNA, 1486 nt
Organism: Brassica oleracea var. oleracea
Lineage: Eukaryota; Viridiplantae; Streptophyta; Magnoliopsida; Brassicales; Brassicaceae
Exons: 7
Source: RefSeq, a predicted model, not a curated record